AAACAGUUGUCUUAUAGUGAUUCUUUGUUCAGUCAUUCCACUGGGAGUGGGAGGGAGAUUGUGGGCCAUGCAUCAGGAAUGCAUAUCCCCUUUCAUUGGGGAUAAUCCCACAAGAGCCUCUUCCCUGAGACACAACAAUCAUGGUGGCCUUUAUUGGGUGCUUUUACAGUUGGCAAAAAUGUGUCCCUGUGUCUACUAAAAGCUCUCAUUAUAGAAGUUUUGAUUAUCAAAGUAUUACAUUAUUAUAGACAAUUUUUCCUCUAUUGAUAACAGCUAUUUAAAGAUAUGGCACAUUCAGAUCUGAACUUAGGCAGCUAACAAAACACCUUUUGAAAAAUGUAUAACAAAAAUUACUUCAAAUAUGGCGAGCCCUUCACUUUGAAUUUAAAAUUACUUGUUUUAAAACACGGAUGAGUAUAUUCUUUGGUAGGCUUCUAAAUAGAAUAUUGAAUCACCCCUGAAACUUCAUCUCUGGAAGCUUCUGUUAACCUUUUUUUUUUAUAUCAGACAAUGGUAUAUAACUUUUAACUCUCGAUAGGAACUAAUUCUGAAGCAUCAAAUGCUUCUGAAACAGAAUCUGACCACAGAGACGAACUCAGUGAUUGGUCAUUAGCUCCAACAGAGGAAGAGAGGGAGAGCUUCCUGCGCAGAGGAGACGGACGGCGGCGUGGAGGAGGCGGAAGAGGACAAGGAGGAAGAGGAAGAGGAGGAGGUUUCAAAGGAAAUGACGAUCAUUCCCGAACAGAUAAUCGUCCACGUAAUCCAAGAGA
RNAcentral lists this long non-coding RNA (770 nucleotides) under Rattus norvegicus (Norway rat). RNAcentral describes it as "long non-coding RNA NONRATT002877". Lineage: Eukaryota; Metazoa; Chordata; Mammalia; Rodentia; Muridae. The record is from RNAcentral.